This 520-nucleotide ribosomal RNA is filed under the name Nothopsyche ruficollis. RNAcentral's name for it is "partial 16S ribosomal RNA". Lineage: Eukaryota; Metazoa; Arthropoda; Insecta; Trichoptera; Limnephilidae. The record is from RNAcentral.
GUCUUUUUGAUAAAUAAUUUAAAGUCUAAUCUGCCCCCUGAAAUUAUUUUAAAGGGCUGCGGUAUCUUAACCGUACAAAGGUAGCAUAAUAAUUAGGUUUUUAAUUGAAAUCUUGAAUGAAUGAUUGGACGAGAUAUGAGCUGUUUUAAAAUAUAAAUUUGAAUUUAAUUUUUUAGUUAAAAAGCUAAAAUAUUUAUAAAAGACGAGAAGACCCUAUAAAUCUUUAUAAUUUAUUUAUUUUAAUUAAUUAUUUUAAUAAAAUUAAUUUAAAUAAUAAAAUUAUUUUAUUGGGGUGAUAUAAAAAUUUUUUAAACUUUUUAUGAUUAUAAUACUAUAAUUUAAGAUUUAUAAAUAUAUGAUCUAUUAAUAAUAAUUAAAAGAAAAAGAUACUUUAGGGAUACCAGCGUAAUUUUAAUAUUAAGUUCAUAUUAUUAUUAAAGAUUGCGACCUCGAUGUUGGAUUAAAAUUUAAUUUAAAUGCAAAAGUUUAAAAAUUAAGUCUGUUCGACUUUUAAAAUUUU